This 254-nucleotide ribosomal RNA is filed under the name uncultured bacterium. Its description in RNAcentral is "partial 16S ribosomal RNA". It matches the Rfam family "Bacterial small subunit ribosomal RNA", at positions 524 to 776 of the family's 1533-position model. The record is from RNAcentral.
UACGUAGGGGGCGAGCGUUGUCCGAAGUUACUGGGCGUAAAGAGCGCGUAGGCGGGUCUUUAAGGGAGGGGUGAAAGGUUCAGGGCUCAACCCGGACACUGCCUUUCAUACUGGGGACCUUGAGUGCGGGAGGGGCGAGUGGAAUGGUCGGUGUAGCGGUGAAAUGCGUAGAUAUCGAUCGGAACACCCAUGGCGAAGGCAGCUCGCUGGCCUGCAACUGACGCUGAGGCGCGAAAGCGUGGGGAGCAAACAGG